GGGGCCCGCCGCCCCGGCGCGGCAGGGAGCACCCCUUCCCUCUCCAGCCCCGGCUCUUCCAGCUUGGAAGCCGGGCGCCGGCUGCCAAGGCACAGCGAGCAGCUCAAGGGCCGGUCCCGGGAGCCUGGGAAAUGCCCCGUGCUGACUUGGGCCGUUUCCCUCGUGACAGGGAGCUGCCAAGCCGGGAAAUGCAGCCUGGCCUUGUUUCGCUCCUUUUGCAUGUGCAUGCAAGCUGGUGCAGAGGGCACAUGCGCUCGCUGCACCCGCCAGCUUUGCAACAGCCCUGUCACCCCACUUGGAGGGAGCACAGGAGGGUUUGGCACCUUGUUCUGGUGCCUUUUGAGCAUCCAGCACCUCUAGGUGCUCUUCGUAUUCGCGCCGUGUGAGAUGGAGGUGUCCUGGAGAGGCGCUCCUUUUGCAUGUGCAUGCAAGCUGGUGCAGAGGGCACAUGCGCUCGCUGCACCCGCCAGCUUUGCAACAGCCCUGUCACCCCACUUGGAGGGAGCACAGGAGGGUUUGGCACCUUGUUCUGGUGCCUUUUGAGCAUCCAGCACCUCUAGGUGCUCUUCGUAUUCGCGCCGUGUGAGAUGGAGGUGUCCUGGAGAGGGAGACAAGCCUCACACAUUUCUCUGUAGGCUUCGGGCAUGAAAACACCUGGAUCGGGCUCAAUGACCGGAUCGUGGAGCAGGACUUCCAGUGGACAGACAACACCGGCUUGCAAUAUGAGAACUGGCGGGAGAACCAGCCUGACAACUUCUUUGCGGGCGGUGAGGACUGCGUGGUGCUGGUGUCCCACGAGAUUGGCAAAUGGAACGACGUGCCCUGCAAUUACAAUCUGCCCUACAUCUGCAAGAAAGGCACAGGUACCGCCUGGCCCCAGCCCCAGCAUCCCUCCGGGUACCAUCCCUGUCCUACAGCUCUGGCAUCCCUCCCCAGGCACCAUCCCCAUCCCACGGCCCCAUCAUCUCACCAGGCACCAUCCACAUCCUGUGGCCCCGGCAUCCAUCACAGGUACCAUCCCCAUCCCACAGCCCAGCAUCCCUCCCCAGGCACCAUCUCCAUCCCAUGGCCCCAUCAUCUCACCAGGUACCAUCCCCAUCCCAUGGCCCUGGCAUCCCUCCGGGUACCAUCCCCAUCGCAUGGUCCUGGCAUCCCUCCUGGGUACCAUCCCCAUCCCACAGCCUCAUCAUCUCACCGGGUACCAUCCCCAUCCCGUGGCCCUGGCAUCCCUCCAGGUACCAUCCCCAUCGCAUGGCCCUGGCACCCAGGGUCCCUCCCCAUCCCCUGGCCCUGGCAUCCCUCCCCGGGUACCACCCCCAUCCCACAGCCUCAUCAUCUCACCGGGUACCAUCCCCAUCCCACAGCCCCAUCAUCUCACCAGGUACCAUCCCCAUCCCAUGGCCCUGGCAUCCCUCCCUGGGUACCAUCCCCAUCCCACAGCCUCGUCAUCUCACCAGGUACCAUCCCCAUCCUAUGGCCCCGGCAUCCCUCCCCACAUACCAUCCCCAUCCUGUGGUCCCAGCAUUCAUCACAGGUACCAUCCCCAUCCCGUGGCCCUGGCAUCCCUCCGGGCAUCUUCCCCCUCCCACAGCCCCGUCAUGUCACCAGGUACCAUCCCCAUCCCAUGGCCCCAGCAUCCCUCCCCACCGCUCCUGGGCACCUCCUCGUCCUCAGAAAACCUCUCCCCUCUGCUGCCCUCACAGCCCUUCGACAAGGAAAACUCAAGCAGCUUCCCUUAAUCUCCAUUUUUUUUCCCCCACAGCUUAAUUCUUCCCUCUCCACUUUAAUUUGCUUAAUUUGCCGCCAUUAAAACUAUUAAGUUCUCAUUCCUUAUCUUGAAAGUUAUAUUAACCUCCAGCUGUUCGUGCCGAGCCGGAGGAGUACGCCUCCCGCUCCCGCCGGCCACGUGUAAUGAUAUAUCUGUCCCGAUAAGGCCAUUAAUUAAAUAUGUAAAUCCUCGGCGAACACCUUGGUGCAAAACUGUCGGAGGAGCCUCUUGACGGACGGGAUUUAUAGCCAAGCCGUCCGCGG
RNAcentral lists this long non-coding RNA (2031 nucleotides) under Struthio camelus australis. RNAcentral describes it as "lncRNA (ENSSCUG00000019066.1)". Lineage: Eukaryota; Metazoa; Chordata; Aves; Struthioniformes; Struthionidae. The record is from RNAcentral.